GCUUGAACCUGUGCCUUCUCAGUGAUCUGAGCUACUGCAGUGAGAUUCUUAACCCUCUGUUGUCACAGCAGGAACUCCAGCAUUCUAAAUUCUUAAUAGUAUGCAUACAUGGUGCAUUUAUAUAUUUUUGAAAUUAUUUUUAUUUCAUUUUAUUGGAGUAUAGUUAACAUCAAUGUCAUAUUAGUUUUAGACAUAAUGGUGCAUUUAUACUUGAUGGUGUCUUAUUAGAUUUGAUGAACUACAGUGGGAAUUAUUAUCAUCCCCAUUUGUGAAAUGAGUAAAUUGAAUCACACUUAACAGAUAAAGACACUUGGGUUAAAUAACUUGCCCAGAUCACAGAGCAAGCAAGUGGCAGAGCCUGGGUUUGAAACAAGACGAAGGAGUUUGCCAUAUGAUAAGGGAGAAAGUCAAAUGCACAAGCAUUCAGAAGAGACUUAGGUUGCUUUUGGUUGGAGCAGCUGUUCUUAACUCUGGCUACAUAAUGGAAUCCACAGACCAGCUUAGGUCAGAAGCAGAGCUGACGUCCUCCUGGUGAAGUGACUGGGAGAGUCUUACGGAGAAAGAGGUAUUGUGUUCGAUCUUGAAGGGUGGCUGGGAUUUUGGAAAGAAGUAGAGGCCUGGGUGUGAGAAAGGUGUGCCCUGCUGGGAGAGUGCUGUGCACAGGGCCAGGGGAAGGCGCUGGCUCCCGCCUGGCUGGUUCCCAUGUGUGCUUGGUCUCUGGCCCACAGACCGUGUUCAGUAACUCUUGCCGAUGGACUGGGUGAAGCCGUGGCAUGCGGAGGAGGACGAGGCUGGAAGAACCUCCUAUCCACCUUAUACUGAGGCUGAACGUGACAGAGCUCUGCAGGAGUGAGGGUGUUACCUGGUGCCUCUAGAGGCUUCUCCGGCAUCCGGGCCUGGCAUCCAGCAACAUGCCCGGCCUUGUAAAAACAUACAAGCUCUGCAAACAUCAAGCUGCAGAAGAGAAACUCUGUGAGUCUCCCUGCAGACUUGGGAAGGGCCAACAUCAGCUUUCUUGGAGGGCUGAGAGCAGGGGCUGGGGCAUCAGGCGCUGGCGCCUCCACCUGCUAACGGGGCCCCGUGGACACAGUACAUCUCCCUCUAAAAAUGGCCAGAUGACUGCCUACUGCGUGAGGUUGUUGUGAGGAGUAAAUGAGGAGGUGGUUCCCUCGUGCCUCCCACGGCGCCUGGAACAUGGCAGGUGCUCAAGAAGCGUGAGCUUAACUGGGAAACAGCCGGGGCGAGGCCCGCCCUUCCGUCACAGCUGAAGAGCCUCAGGUGAAGCAGGGAAGGCGGGGAGCACCAGUAGGGAUUUCGGCGGCAAGGAAAAGCCCCAGGACACACACCCAAGACAAGGCCACCUGUUGUCCCUUCACCUCGCCAGGCCUCCGGGUCCUCAGCAGUCCCCGGUGAAAUGACAUUGUUUGGAGAGAUGAUCCAGGGAGAAAGGUCUGAGGACAGUAUGGGGCCUCCAACAAGAGAUCACACAGAGGAGGGAAUUCAGCAAAGGACCCAGACAGCAGCCAGUGAAGAUCAAGGAGAGCGUGAUGUCUCAGAAGCCAAGAGAAAAGACAAUUUCAGGGGUUCAUGUAAUCACAGGAGAUGCAGAUAACAACAUGCCGAAGGCCACACAUGCAUGGUUAUGAGUGAUGCUUGCCUUGGAUAUUGUGAAACGGAGGAACGAAUAAACGGAUGCAUUUACAUCCAAACAAACUUGAUUUCAACCCCUUAGGAAUAUGUCACAUAGCAUAAACGGGAGAAAUAAUCAUUGCCCAGGAUUUCGGUUUAGUGUAAGCAAUCAAUAUGAAUAAUUUAGACCACAGAGUGGAUUUUCACUUAGCUUGAGCUAUUCAGAUUGACUUUCAAUUCAGCCUUGACUACCACCGAACAAUCAACAGCAAAUCUUCUCACUGGGUUUGUGUCCUAUGGACACACAUGUGUGUCUACACAGCUGCGAAUUACCUCACUCUGGACAUGGGGCCCUGUUCAAGCCAAAUGUCAGGAGAAAUAUUCCAUCUUGUCAUGACAUUUCAUAUAACAUUGAGUGCACAUGGCCACGAGUGAACUUUUCUUCUGUCUCCCUCUGGCUGAAGGCCCAUUUCUGCCCUUUCCUCUCCUCCACGUACACACACGCAUGCACGCAUGCUCACACACACACACACACACACACACACACACACACACACACACACAAAGGCAGAGAGUUCUUGGACCAAAGUUUACCCAAAUGUCUCCUACUUGCUGGGCCCUCCUGUCUCUGACGUUUUGGUACUGACUCUUGCCUUCUCAGCUGUCUACGACUUACCAGAUGCUUCUAGUCUGUCUGACCUCUGAGAUGUGUCUGAUCCUUCAAGUUUUCUCUGGACUUAAUCAACUGUUGGCUCAACCAACAGACCAAUCCUCCUGCUCAGCCCUGUGUGCGGUGUCAGAUACACAGACACACACACCCACUAUAAAUACUUCAGCUUCAAACAAGAAUGUGCUUACCAGUUAGACGAAUGAAACUGGUAGAACAAACACUACAUAACUUGGAUUCUGGAUGCGGCCGAACACAUAAUUAACUGUGACCUGAGACAGGUCUCUUAACACUCUGAGCCACAUGGGACUGGAUCAAAGGACCCCUCCUGGUUCCAAUCAUCGUUAGUGAGGCUAGCCAAGAUGUGAUGCCCAAGAACACUGCAAUCCAACUGCUCCUGUUAGAAUAUGCUUGAACCUUUGCCUUACAGAAUAAGUUCUAACCUUUCAGCAUACAGUACUGGAGCCUGAUAUAUACACUGUAUCAUAUUUAUGGGAAGAAAGAAGGAAGAGUUUUCUUUCAUUCUUUUUUUUUCUUUUUUUUCUUUUUAGGGCCACAUCGUGGCAUA
Molecule: non-coding RNA, 2864 nt
Organism: Sus scrofa (pig)
Lineage: Eukaryota; Metazoa; Chordata; Mammalia; Artiodactyla; Suidae
Source: RefSeq, a predicted model, not a curated record